GACGAACGCUGGCGGCGUGCUUAACACAUGCAAGUCGAACGGUGAAGCGCCUUCCUUUUUGGUGGGUGUGGAUGAGUGGCGAACGGGUGAGUAACACGUGAGUAACCUGCCCCCUUCUUCUGGAUAACCGCAUGAAAGCGUGGCUAAUACGGGAUAUUCUGGGUCUGUCGCAUGAUGGGUCUGGGAAAGAUAUUGUUUCGGUGGGGGAUGGGCUCGCGGCCUAUCAGCUUGUUGGUGGGGUGAUGGCCUACCAAGGGGGUGACGGGUAGCCGGCCUGGGAGGGUGGACGGUCACACUGGGACUGCGGCACGGCCCGGACUCCUACGGGGGGCAGCAGUGGGGAGUAUGGCACAAUGGGGGAAAGCGUGAUACAGGGCCGCCGCGGGAGGGAUGGAGGCCUUCGGGUUGUGAACCUCUUUCGCCAGUGAAGCAGGCCUGCCUCGUUUGUGGGUGGGUUGACGGUAGCUGGAUAAGAAGCGCCGGCUAACUACGUG
Molecule: ribosomal RNA, 494 nt
Filed under: uncultured bacterium
Lineage: Bacteria
Description: partial 16S ribosomal RNA
Rfam family: Bacterial small subunit ribosomal RNA
Source: RNAcentral